GACAGUUCGGUCCCUAUCCGUCGUGGGCGUAGGAAAUUUGAGAGGAGCUGUCCUUAGUACGAGAGGACCGGGAUGGACGCACCGCUGGUGUACCAGUUGUCCUGCCAAAGGCAUCGCUGGGUAGCUAUGUGUGGACGGGAUAAGUGCUGAAAGCAUCUAAGCAUGAAGCCCCCCUCAAGAUGAGAUUUCCCAUAGCGUAAGCUAGUAAGAUCCCUGAAAGAUGAUCAGGUUGAUAGGUUCGAGGUGGAAGCAUGGUGACAUGUGGAGCUGACGAAUACUAAUAGAUCGAGGACUUAACCAAAAA
This 304-nucleotide ribosomal RNA is filed under the name Streptococcus salivarius. RNAcentral describes it as "partial 23S ribosomal RNA". It matches the Rfam family "Bacterial large subunit ribosomal RNA", at positions 2625 to 2925 of the family's 2925-position model. The record is from RNAcentral. Lineage: Bacteria; Bacillati; Bacillota; Bacilli; Lactobacillales; Streptococcaceae.